Mus musculus (house mouse) is the source of this 2545-nucleotide long non-coding RNA. RefSeq annotates it as predicted gene, 35149. NCBI's taxonomy places the organism in Eukaryota, Metazoa, Chordata, Mammalia, Rodentia, Muridae. The record is from RefSeq and is a predicted model, not a curated record. The transcript is spliced from 2 exons.
ACUUUUAUGAAAUGCUUAGACUUCAAAACAGAUGUUUUAAAAAGAAAAGGCUUUUUAAAAACAAACAAAAACCCAAACAACAAAAAAACUUCGUAACAGUGAUCUGUACAAGUUUCCAGAAGCUCGCGGUAUUUAAUCCCUGCGAUUCUAGAUGUCUGUCUUAUCUGUAAUGGCGUGCACCUUACGGAUGCACCGCAGUUGAUCCCACAGUGGCCUGGAACUCUGUGAGCAGCUGAUUUGCCUUUCAAGAGCUGUUGAGAAGUUCCAGAGCCGCUCCGCGCCAUUACUGCUGACUGCUGUGUGAGUCGACCCCAACAUACUGGAGCCACUUCCUCCACCUGUCGCCCUGCCUUGAGCCAGGAAAACAGAUGGGAGGAUGGAAAGUUCCAGUGAGUCUGUGGGCACUUCCUUUUUAAGACAGAUUUAGGAACCUCGGAGGAUAGAUACAUCCUCACCCCAAGGUCUCAGCUGUGCUCUGCGCAGGGGCCUGAGGACCAGCCACGCCCACGGACCCAGGCUGCCAAUCAACUGCACGCAAAGCUCCACAAAUCACAGCCUGCCACGGUUGCGCUCUUCUGACUCCUAAAAGGUUUUGCGUUGGGAGACAUACUUUCCUUUACUUUUUCUACAAGGAAGAAUUUUUGAAUUCAUGGCUUUUAGAGUGUUCAUCUGGGCUUUUAGAGAUGCCUGUGAAAUACUUUUGCUGUGAACAAUCUCACUUCAAAGACAAUUAACAGGAAACUUGGCCCUUUGACUUGACUGCAUCACUUCUGGACGCUGUAUCCGCUCCACGGGGACACAGGAGGUUGAGUGUGGCCCAGCACCUCUGUCACCCCUCUCUGCUUGCUCUGAGUUCAGAGGACAGGACAGGAAACACCUGUGCAGCAACCCCGGGGCUGCCUGGGGCCUUCCCACACUGCAGCCACACCUUCUGUUUCUUUGCUCGCUGAGUCCCACGCCUGCCCCUGGCUAAGGUCUACUGCUGGGCCGAGAGUGCACAGUGUGGUGGUUUACGUUAGGAGCCUGUGCCGAACGGCCUCAGAACUGAAUUCUACGAGGAAGGGGAAGGCGACCUUCUGAGACCCCAAUUCAUGUGGUCCACAGGGUGGUCUUAGAGGAGAGUGCUCUGAUUAAGUUCUGAUGGUUACAGCAUCUUUUUUUUUUCUCGAAAUUUUGUUCUUUUUGGCUCAGUGUGUCUCCAUCAGCAGGACCCAGUUGGGUUUUUACAAUGACAUGAAAAGACGCUUGCCUGUGCUGUUUCCACACACGCCUGCGUGGGCACUUUCUGCGCGCAGUAGUACAUUAGUGGCUCAAACACUCAGGCUGCGGUGAACACUGCUCUGAAACACUGUCUUUAUUCUAUCUAAACCACAGCGUUUGUGUGUGUGUGUGUGUGUGUGUGUGUGUGUGUGUGUGUGUGUGUGUGUGUGUGUGCCAGAGAUCAGACAGCCCACCAGGCAUGUUCUGGGAUGCUAGGAACUACUGUUGGACAUGGGAGACAGAACGGGGGUUCUCGUUCAGGCAGAGUUCGACUGGGUUAGUCUUCCCUAGUGGCCAGGCUGGGGAUAGCUCCACAAGACCACUGGAAGAACACUGGAGGCUGAGAGCCUGAUAAGGCCUCCCAAAGGUGGAGUGGAAGCCACUUAAUAGCUGGCACAAGACACUGCAGAAUGUCUUCCCUUCAGCCCCAGGCUUCCCAGUCCAUUCUGGUCUGACACACCUGUCUGUCCCACCCACACACGAAUAAGAAGCACAACGAGCUACACAGAAGCAGAUCAAAAUCUGUGACAGAGGGUCUCCCCCACCCCUGCUGUGUCCAACAUGACUUCUAUCAGUCCAUCGUCCACGGCUGUGACCAAAUACCUGACAUUAGCAACUUAAAAGGACAAAUGACUCCGGCCCAUGCUUUCAGUAGUUCCAUGGCUUCUAUGCUGCUGGCAAGCCAGCAUAUGACAGAAGGGUGUGUGGAGGAAAGCUGUUCAUCUCAUGAUAGCUGAGAAAGGUUAGGAGCUGUGUGGAGGAGUGGGGUGGGGGGCAUGUGUCCAAGGCAUUCCUCCAGCAACACGCCUCCUCUAACUACACCCCAUUUCCUAGUUUCCUCUACCUCUCAACACCAUUGAAGUAUGAAGCCACCGUUGGAUUAGGCCAGAGCCCUCAUGGUCCAACUGUCCCUAACCUUAAACCCACAGGCUGUCAAGGGGCAGUGCUAUAUUCAAACCAUAACACUUUCAAGAGACUCUGGCAUGCCCUUUGAUCGGUGAGGUGGGUGGGCCUCUGGAAAAUGGAAAACAGUCCCAUGAAUCUGGUGGUGCCAAGGAGGGCCAGGCUUUGUAGGGAAGGUUGGGAACAGUCAAUGCUUGGCCAACUGGAAGCAGAGCAGGAGGCUGAGGAGGGGCAGCCAUGGCUACAGGCGAGCGGAAAGAAACACAAGAGUGCCCUGCAGUGCACCUCAGCUACAGACAGAACACUGCACACCCGAGCCGGCCGGUUAGUCAGUGUUUCCCAGUCAGCACUGGCUGCCUGCCUGGGAGGGAGGAGCCUGUAC